Molecule: ribosomal RNA, 301 nt
Filed under: uncultured bacterium
Lineage: Bacteria
Description: partial 16S ribosomal RNA
Rfam family: Bacterial small subunit ribosomal RNA
Source: RNAcentral
CAGUCGCCGCGGUAAUACGAAGGGUGCAAGCGUUAAUCGGAAUUACUGGGCGUAAAGCGUGCGUAGGCGGUUUGUUAAGUCUGCUGUGAAAUCCCCGGGCUCAACCUGGGAAUGGCAGUGGAUACUGGCAAGCUAGAGUGUGUCAGAGGAUGGUGGAAUUCCCGGUGUAGCGGUGAAAUGCGUAGAGAUCGGAAGGAACAUCAGUGGCGAAGGCGGCCAUCCGGGACAACACUGACGCUGAGGCACGAAAGCGUGAGGAGCAAACAGGAUUAGAUACCCCCGUAGUCCCUGUCUCUUAUAC